CCAGAACAGAGCACCACCACCGUAGCGUUCUAAGCUCAUUCUAAGCUCAUCUUAUCAAUGACAUGAGGAAACACAUUAUUCAUUCAUGUAUGAGGGAGUGCUUUCCAAUUGAAGACACUGCUUUGAAAGAGACUGCCAAAUUGGUUUCAUUGAGAAGGAAUGAAAGAAGCUAAAAGGUUUUCACUUGAGAUUUGACAAUAGCCAGAAAACCUCUGUCAAUAAUGAAUGUUAAGUGAUAACAUUUAAUUAGCAUGGGUUAUAAAUAGAAAGACUAUUGCUUGGAAUUAACGUAGGCACAAUCUUAAAUUUCUGUAUAGCUGUUGGCUGUUUCUUUUGCAGUUUCUCCUAAAAAUGGGACAAUUACAUCUCACAACCAUUUUUUCCUCUUUUCAGAGAUAUUUUAUUUGGUUGAGAACUGGGUUUUAUUUUGGCUCUUGCCAUCUUCAACAGCUGUUUCUCAGUUAAGUGGACUGAGGUGAUGUUGAGGAGGUGCUAAUGAGUCUACUGGCAUCCAUUCCUGUGCCUUUUGGUGCUUCUGUAUAUGAAAGUCAGUUUGAUUGUGAACAAGGGGUUAUGCAGGACUGUGCAGAGAAAGAAAAAAAAAGGACAUGAUAAUACCUCAGACCAUUCAUUGUAAACAAAGAUUUUGCAACAGCUUUGCUUACAACACAUUAUAGCUGAAUACAAGGGAAAGUUUUUCAGAGCCCUCCCCCCCCCAAAAUUAAUAGUAUUGGCACAUUAGGAAGGUUCUCCAGAGAAGCAGAACCAAUCAGAUGUUCUCUUUUCCUUGGGGAACCUCUGUCUUUUUCCAUAUAAGGCCUUCAACUGAUUGGUUGAGGCCCACGCACCUUAUGGAAGUAAUUUGCUUUACUCAAAAUCUACUGAUUUAAAUGUUAAUCUCAUCUGAAAAUUGUCUUCACAGCAACAUCCAGAUAAGUUUGACUAAAUAUCUUGAUUCUAUGGCAUCACCAAGGUGACCAAAUAUUCAAUGAGCUAUCCCACAGGGCCAUUCUGAGAGCUGGAAAUGGAAUUGAUUUGUUACAAAAUCUUCAGACUUUGAAUGGUGUGUUUUGACAAAGAAAUAAGGACCAAAAUGCUUUCAGUGUCACUGCCAUGCUGGUAGAAACCCUCCCUGAGAGUGAGCUUCAUACUCUAUUCCAGCCACAAGUCUCUAGCAGAGCAGUGCAGUAAUAAAGCCAGCAAGCUUUGAUGUCACAUCACUGAAGUCUGAAU
Molecule: long non-coding RNA, 1233 nt
Filed under: Macaca fascicularis (crab-eating macaque)
Lineage: Eukaryota; Metazoa; Chordata; Mammalia; Primates; Cercopithecidae
Description: lncRNA (ENSMFAG00000059714.1)
Source: RNAcentral